CCUACGGGUGGCAGCAGUAGGGAAUCUUCCACAAUGGACGAAAGUCUGAUGGAGCAACGCCGCGUGUGUGAUGAAGGGUUUCGGCUCGUAAAACACCGUUGUAAGAGAAGAAUGACACUGAGAGUAACUGUUCAGUGUGUGACGGUAUCUUACCAGAAAGGAACGGCUAAAUACGUGCCAGCAGCCGCGGUAAUACGUAUGUUCCCAGCGUUCUCCGGAUUUCUUGGGCGUAAAGCUAGCGCCGACGGUUGGUUAAGUCAGAAGUGAAAGCCAACAGCUUAACUGUGGAAGUGCUUUGGAAACUGGAUAACUUGAGUGCAGUAGAGGAGAUUGGAACUCCAGGUGUAGCGGUGAAAUGCGUAGAUAUAUGGAAGAACACCAGUGGCUAAGGCGGCUCUCUGGACUGUAACUGACGUUGAGGUUCGAAAGUGUGGGUAGCAAACAGGAUUAGAUACCCGUGUAGUC
RNAcentral lists this ribosomal RNA (465 nucleotides) under uncultured Weissella sp. RNAcentral describes it as "bacterial SSU rRNA". It matches the Rfam family "Bacterial small subunit ribosomal RNA", at positions 338 to 795 of the family's 1533-position model. The record is from RNAcentral. Lineage: Bacteria; Bacillati; Bacillota; Bacilli; Lactobacillales; Lactobacillaceae.